AACGAACGCUGGCGGCAUGCCUAACACAUGCAAGUCGAACGAGACCUUCGGGUCUAGUGGCGCACGGGUGCGUAACGCGUGGGAAUCUGCCCUUGGGUUCGGAAUAACAGUGAGAAAUUACUGCUAAUACCGGAUGAUGUCUUCGGACCAAAGAUUUAUCGCCCAGGGAUGAGCCCGCGUAGGAUUAGCUAGUUGGUGGGGUAGUGGCCUACCAAGGCGACGAUCCUUAGCUGGUCUGAGAGGAUGAUCAGCCACACUGGGACUGAGACACGGCCCAGACUCCUACGGGAGGCAGCAGUGGGGAAUAUUGGACAAUGGGCGCAAGCCUGAUCCAGCAAUGCCGCGUGAGUGAUGAAGGCCUUAGGGUUGUAAAGCUCUUUUACCCGGGAUGAUAAUGACAGUACCGGGAGAAUAAGCUCCGGCUAACUCCGUG
This 433-nucleotide ribosomal RNA is filed under the name uncultured bacterium. RNAcentral describes it as "partial 16S ribosomal RNA". It matches the Rfam family "Bacterial small subunit ribosomal RNA", at positions 29 to 507 of the family's 1533-position model. The record is from RNAcentral.